CCUACGGGAGGCAGCAGCGGGGAAUAUUGCACAAUGGGGGCAACCCUGAUGCAGCGACGCCGCGUGAGUGAAGAAGUAAUUCGUUACGUAAAGCUCUAUCAGCAGGGAAGAAAUACUGACCUUACGGUCAGCAGACGGUACCUGAGUAAGAAGCCCCGGCUAACUACGUGCCAGCAGCCGCGGUAAUACGUAGGGGGCAAGCGUUAUCCGGAUUUACUGGGUGUAAAGGGAGCGUAGACGGGGCGCCACGUCUGGAGUGAAAUGCCGCAGCUUAACUGCGGAACUGCUUUGGAAACUGGCGAACUAGAGUGCGGGAGGGGUAAGCGGAAUUCCUAGUGUAGCGGUGAAAUGCGUAGAUAUUAGGAGGAACACCGGUGGCGAAGGCGGCUUACUGGACCGUAACUGACGUUGAGGCGCGAAAGCGUGGGGAGCAAACAGGAUUAGAUACCCUUGUAGUC
Molecule: ribosomal RNA, 458 nt
Filed under: uncultured bacterium
Lineage: Bacteria
Description: partial 16S ribosomal RNA
Rfam family: Bacterial small subunit ribosomal RNA
Source: RNAcentral